Non-coding RNA from Pelobates cultripes (western spadefoot toad), 589 nucleotides. Lineage: Eukaryota; Metazoa; Chordata; Amphibia; Anura; Pelobatidae. The record is from the annotation of a GenBank genome assembly.
CCCGAUUUCGGCCAAGCAUUCGCUUUCAGGCAUAAUGCUUUGUCAUACAGAGGAGAUCGUGGCCUACUAAAUGAUUGCAAGGUCCCCAGUCCUUGUGGCUUCGAAAACAAGCCAAAAUAAUCACCCCUCCACUACUGUGCUUGACAGUUGAUAUGAGUAGUCUGUGCUGUUCUACUGUUUAGUUUUCGCCAAACAUGACGCUGUGCAUUAUGGUCAUACAUCUCCACUUUGAUCUCAUCUGCCCAAAGGACAUUGUUCCUGAAGUUUUGUGGUCCAUUCAGAUGCUGGAUGUUUUCUCCUGGCAACUCUUCCAAACAAACCAUAUUUGUUCAGUCUUUCUAAUAGUACUGCCUUGAACUUUAAUGUGCUGAGGCCUGUAGAGUCUGAGAUGUAACUCUUGUUUGUGUUUGGUUUCCAAUUUCUUUUAGCAUUGCAUGGACUGACCUUGGAUGUCCCGGUAAAUUCACCCCACUUCUGGAAAGAUUGUCAAUUAUCUGAAGUGUCUUCCACUUUUUAAUCUUUCUCACUGUAAAAUAAUGAAUUUUAAAUUUGUUUGAAAAUGGCCUUAUAACCCUUCCCUGUUUGAUGG